This 1044-nucleotide ribosomal RNA is filed under the name uncultured bacterium. RNAcentral's name for it is "bacterial SSU rRNA". It matches the Rfam family "Bacterial small subunit ribosomal RNA", at positions 336 to 1393 of the family's 1533-position model. The record is from RNAcentral.
CUCCUAGGGGAGGCAGCAGUGGGCGAAUAUUGGGCAAUGGGCGCACACUGUACCCAGCAACGCCGCGUGAGGGAAGAAGGUUUUCGGAUUGUAAACCUCUGUCCUAGGGGACGAAGGAAGUGACGGUACCUUAGGAGGAAGCCCCGGCUAACUACGUGCCAGCAGCCGCGGUAAUACGUAGGGGGCGAGCGUUGUCCGGAAUGACUGGGCGUAAAGGGCGUGUAGGCGGCAGUAUAAGUCCGGAGUGAAAGUCCUGCUUUCAAGGUGGGAAUUGCUUUGGAGACUGUACAGCUUGAGUGCGGAAGAGGUAAGUGGAAUUCCCAGUGUAGCGGUGAAAUGCGUAGAGAUUGGGAGGAACACCAGUGGCGAAGGCGACUUACUGGGCCGUAACUGACGCUGAGGCGCGAAAGCGUGGGGAGCGAACAGGAUUAGAUACCCUGGUAGUCCACGCGGUAAACGAUGAAUGCUAGGUGUAGGGGGUAUCGACCCCUUCUGUGCCGGAGUAAACACAAUAAGCAUUCCGCCUGGGGAGUACGGCCGCAAGGUUGAAACUCAAAGGAAUUGACGGGGGCCCGCACAAGCAGCGGAGCAUGUGGUUUAAUUCGACGCAACGCGAAGAACCUUACCAGGUCUUGACAUCGAUCCAAAGCUACAGAGAUGUAGUGUGACUUCGGUCAGGAGAAGACAGGUGGUGCAUGGUUGUCGUCAGCUCGUGUCGUGAGAUGUUGGGUUAAGUCCCGCAACGAGCGCAACCCUUAUUGUCAGUUACUAACGGGUAAGGCCGAGGACUCUGACGAGACUGCCGGGGACAACUCGGAGGAAGGUGGGGACGACGUCAAAUCAUCAUGCCCCUUAUGACCUGGGCUACACACGUGCUACAAUGGUGGUAACAAAGAGGAGCGAGCCCGUAAGGGUAAGCGGAUCUCAAAAAAGCCAUCUCAGUUCGGAUUGUGGGCUGCAACCCGCCCACAUGAAGUUGGAGUUGCUAGUAAUCGCGAAUCAGCAUGUCGCGGUGAAUACGUUCCCGGGCCUUGUACACACCGC